RNAcentral lists this ribosomal RNA (603 nucleotides) under uncultured fungus. RNAcentral describes it as "eukaryotic LSU rRNA". It matches the Rfam family "Eukaryotic large subunit ribosomal RNA", at positions 23 to 641 of the family's 3401-position model. The record is from RNAcentral. Lineage: Eukaryota; Fungi.
ACCCGCUGAACUUAAGCAUAUCAAUAAGCGGAGGAAAAGAAACCAACAGGGAUUGCCCUAGUAACGGCGAGUGAAGCGGCAACAGCUCAAAUUUGAAAUCUGGCGUCUUUGGCGUCCGAGUUGUAAUUUGCAGAGGGCGCUUUGGCAUUGGCAGCGGUCCAAGUUCCUUGGAACAGGACGUCACAGAGGGUGAGAAUCCCGUACGUGGUCGCUAGCCUUUACCGUGUAAAGCCCCUUCGACGAGUCGAGUUGUUUGGGAAUGCAGCUCUAAAUGGGAGGUAAAUUUCUUCUAAAGCUAAAUACUGGCCAGAGACCGAUAGCGCACAAGUAGAGUGAUCGAAAGAUGAAAAGCACUUUGGAAAGAGAGUUAAAAAGCACGUGAAAUUGUUGAAAGGGAAGCGCUUGCAGCCAGACUUGCCUGUAGUUGCUCAUCCGGGUUUCUACCCGGUGCACUCUUCUAUAGGCAGGCCAGCAUCAGUUUGGGCGGUUGGAUAAAGGUCUCUGUCAUGUACCUCUCUUCGGGGAGAACUUAUAGGGGAGACGACAUGCAACCAGCCCGGACUGAGGUCCGCGCAUCUGCUAGGAUGCUGGCGUAAUGGCUGU